Molecule: ribosomal RNA, 363 nt
Filed under: Triticum aestivum (bread wheat)
Lineage: Eukaryota; Viridiplantae; Streptophyta; Magnoliopsida; Poales; Poaceae
Description: partial small subunit ribosomal RNA
Source: RNAcentral
AUGUACUCCCUCAAACACCACAACUGCAGCUCCCAAGUAAACACCAUGAUCAUCUCGGCAGAACAACACCCACCGCCCCUUGUUCGUUGGCUUUGCUACUGCUCCAUCCGUGGUCAGUUUCAUAACUCCCUAGGGUGGCGGGAUCCACCCGCCAGAGUGUUGCACUAUAUGACUCCCAACAACCACGCUCUGUGCACACACAUUGAUCUCGUUCAAAUAGCGUUGAAUAAAGAGUUGUGUGGAAAGAGGGUUUGGAACUCCUGUUCAUGUAUUGCUUUUGGUGAGCCCCUUGAUACAUCUCUAACGUAUCUACUUUCUCUCAUGCUUUUCCUCUUGUUUUGGACUCUAAUUUGCAUGAUUUGA